RNAcentral lists this non-coding RNA (138 nucleotides) under uncultured Bradyrhizobium sp. RNAcentral's name for it is "flg-Rhizobiales RNA". It matches the Rfam family "flg-Rhizobiales RNA". The record is from RNAcentral. Lineage: Bacteria; Pseudomonadati; Pseudomonadota; Alphaproteobacteria; Hyphomicrobiales; Nitrobacteraceae.
CGGGUUUGGGAGAACCCAAUGGUUACCGACGGGUCCGGCGUGAAGGUUUGGGAGAACCUGCGUUCGGAUCGCCUCACAGGGGAGAACCACCGAUGCAGAAUACGCUUCUGGUCGGCCUAUCGAAGCAGAUGGUGCUGG